GGAACUGAGACACGGUCCAGACACCUACGGGUGGCAGCAGUCGAGAAUCAUUCGCAAUGGGGGAAACCCUGACGAUGCGACGCCGCGUGGAGGAUGAAGGCCUUAGGGUUGUAAACUCCUGUCAAGAGGGAAUAAGCAAGUGAAGGUACCUCUAGAGGAAGGGGCGGCUAAUUCCGUGCCAGCAGCCGCGGUAACACGGAAGCCCCGAGCGUUGUUCGGAUUCAUUGGGCGUAAAGGGUGCGUAGGCGGCGCGGAAAGUCCGGCGUGAAAGGCAGGGGCUCAACCUCUGGACUGCGUUGGAUACUUCCGUGCUUGAGGACUGGAGGGGAGACUGGAAUUCACGGUGUAGCAGUGAAAUGCGUAGAUAUCGUGAGGAAGACCGGUGGCGAAGGCGAGUCUCUGGACAGAUCCUGACGCUGAGGCACGAAGGCUGGGGGAGCGAACAGGAUUAGAUACCCUGGUAGUCCCAGCAGUAAACGAUGUGAGCUUGAUGUGGGGGGAUUCGACCCCUUCCGUGUCGAAGCUAACGCGAUAAGCUCACCGCCUGAGGAGUACGGCCGCAAGGCUAAAACUCAAAGAAAUUGACGGGGACCCGCACAAGCGGUGGAGUAUGUGGCUUAAUUCGAUGCAACGCGAAGAACCUUACCUGGCCUUGACAUGCAUUGUGUCGUCGGUGAAAGCCGGCUAGUCCUGGAAACAGGACGCUUUGCACAGGUGCUGCAUGGCUGUCGUCAGCUCGUGUCGUGAGAUGUUGGGUUGAGUCCCGCAACGAGCGCAACCCUUGUGGUCAGUUACUAACCGGCUUAGCCGGAGGACUCUGGCCAGACUGCCCUGUCAAACGGGGAGGAAGGUGGGGACGACGUCAAGUCAGUAUGGCCCUUAUGGCCAGGGCUGCACACGUACUACAAUGCCCGGUACAAUGUGAACCGAAACCGCGAGGUGGAGGAAAUCGCUCUUGAAAACCGGGCCCAGUUCGGAUUGGAGUCUGCAACUCGACUCCAUGAAGUCGGAAUCGCUAGUAAUGGCGUAUCAGCAACGACGCCGUGAAUACGUUCCCGGGUCUUGUACACACCGCCCGUCACAUCAUGGAAGUCUCCUGUACCCGAAGCACGUGCGCCAACACUUUUAGGAGGC
This 1134-nucleotide ribosomal RNA is filed under the name uncultured organism. RNAcentral describes it as "bacterial SSU rRNA". It matches the Rfam family "Bacterial small subunit ribosomal RNA", at positions 315 to 1450 of the family's 1533-position model. The record is from RNAcentral.